AAAUGACUUUUGAACUUAGUGGCGGACGGGUGAGUAACGCGUGAGCAACCUGCCUUUCAGAGGGGGAUAACAUUUGGAAACAGAUGCUAAUACCGCAUAAGAUUGUAGCUUCGCAUGGAGCAGCAAUCAAAGGAGCAAUCCGCUGAAAGAUGGGCUCGCGUCCGAUUAGAUAGUUGGUGAGGUAACGGCUCACCAAGUCGACGAUCGGUAGCCGGACUGAGAGGUUGAACGGCCACAUUGGGACUGAGACACGGCCCAGACUCC
RNAcentral lists this ribosomal RNA (264 nucleotides) under uncultured Eubacteriales bacterium. RNAcentral's name for it is "uncultured Clostridiales bacterium partial 16S ribosomal RNA". It matches the Rfam family "Bacterial small subunit ribosomal RNA", at positions 76 to 339 of the family's 1533-position model. Lineage: Bacteria; Bacillati; Bacillota; Clostridia; Eubacteriales. The record is from RNAcentral.